This 625-nucleotide ribosomal RNA is filed under the name uncultured bacterium. RNAcentral describes it as "bacterial SSU rRNA". The stretch from base 1 to 535 matches the Rfam family "Bacterial small subunit ribosomal RNA", at positions 338 to 873 of the family's 1533-position model. The record is from RNAcentral.
CCUACGGGAGGCAGCAGUAAGGAAUAUUGGUCAAUGGACGCAAGUCUGAACCAGCCAUGCCGCGUGAAGGAUUAAGGUCCUCUGGAUUGUAAACUUCUUUUAUCUGGGACGAAAAAAGGCGAUUCUUCGUCACUUGACGGUACCAGAUGAAUAAGCACCGGCUAACUCCGUGCCAGCAGCCGCGGUAAUACGGAGGGUGCAAGCGUUAUCCGGAUUCACUGGGUUUAAAGGGUGCGUAGGCGGGCAGGUAAGUCAGUGGUGAAAUCCUAGAGCUUAACUCUAGAACUGCCAUUGAUACUAUCUGUCUUGAAUAUUGUGGAGGUAAGCGGAAUAUGUCAUGUAGCGGUGAAAUGCUUAGAUAUGACAUAGAACACCUAUUGCGAAGGCAGCUUACUACGCAUAUAUUGACGCUGAGGCACGAAAGCGUGGGGAUCAAACAGGAUUAGAUACCCUGGUAGUCCACGCCCUAAACGAUGAUUACUCGACAUUUGUGAUANACUAUAAGUAGUNUGAGAGAAGACAUAAUUAAUACACCNCGGAGGUAACGACCGACGAGUAGUAACGUAACGAAAGAAAGUUAGUAGGACGNGAGAGAGCCGACGGACGACGACAGGGAGGGAGGGAG